ACACAUGCAGUCGAACGGAGAAUCAGCAAUGGUUCUUAGUGGCGAACGGGUGAGUAACGCGUGGACAACCUGCCUCAAAGAUGGGGACAACACCGCGAAAGUGGUGCUAAUACCGAAUGUUGCAUUGGAUUCGCAUGAAUCUGAUACUAAAGGUGGCCUCUUUAAAUGCUACCGCUUUGAGAUGGGUCUGCGUCUGAUUAGCUAGUUGGUGAGGUAACAGCUCACCAAGGCGAUGAUCAGUAGCCGGUCUGAGAGGAUGAACGGCCACACUGGGACUGAGACACGGCCCAGACUCCUACGGGAGGCAGCAGUGGGGAAUCUUCCGCAAUGGACGAAAGUCUGACGGAGCAACGCCGCGUGAGUGAAGAAGGUUUUCGGAUCGUAAAGCUCUGUCUUUGAGGACGAAUGUGCUUAAUGUAAAUAAUGUUAAGUAAUGACGGUACUCGAGGAGGAAGCCACGGCUAUCUACGUGCCAGCAGCCGCGGUAAUACGUAGGUGGCAAGCGUUGUCCGGAAUUAUUGGGCGUAAAGCGCGCGCAGGCGGGAUAUUAAGUCUGUCUUAAAAGUUCGGGGCUCAACCCCGUGAUGGGAUGGAAACUAAUAUUCUUGAGUGCAGGAGAGGAAAGUGGAAUUCCCAGUGUAGCGGUGAAAUGCGUAGAUAUUGGGAGGAACACCAGUGGCGAAGGCGACUUUCUGGACUGUGUCUGACGCUGAGGCGCGAAAGCCAGGGGAGUGAACGGGAUUAGAUACCCCGGUAAUCCUGGCCGUAAACGAUGGGUACUAGGUGUAGGAGGUAUCGACCCCUUCUGUGCCGGAGUUAACGCAAUAAGUACCCCGCCUGGGGAGUACGGCCACAAGGUUGAAACUCAAAGGAAUUGACGGGGGCCCGCACAAGCGGUGGAGUAUGUGGUUUAAUCGACGCAACGCGAAGAACCUUACCAAGGACUUGACAUCGAUUUGAAAGUC
RNAcentral lists this ribosomal RNA (965 nucleotides) under bacterium enrichment culture clone aHCH4_C6. RNAcentral's name for it is "bacterial SSU rRNA". It matches the Rfam family "Bacterial small subunit ribosomal RNA", at positions 51 to 999 of the family's 1533-position model. The record is from RNAcentral.